Molecule: long non-coding RNA, 655 nt
Organism: Manis javanica (Malayan pangolin)
Lineage: Eukaryota; Metazoa; Chordata; Mammalia; Pholidota; Manidae
Source: RefSeq, a predicted model, not a curated record
GUCUCAUUUCUGCAGGCGUCUCCGGCACACUCCACGUUCGUCCCGCGGGCCGGGACAACUGGCGCCCAACGUGGGGCCCUGGGACUCCUGCUGAAACGUCUGCUCGGAAGCCCUGGCCAGGCAUUCAUUUGAGUCAUCGCACAGGUAUUGACCUGAUGUGGACUCUGCGUUGAGGAUCACUGCGGAUCACCUGUCCAUAAUACAGAUCCCGGAGAGUCCCUGUGCCUGGAUGUACCCCCUGGCUGCAGCUGCUGUUUGAUGCUCUGAAUUCCCUACCUGUUCAGCUACUGGCCACCUGUGGAAUGGCUCUGUCAUUCCCAGUGGCAACUAGUUAAUCCAGAGUUGCUGAAGUGUGAUAUUCUACUUUUGAUGUUGAAAAAAAUUACUGUGAACCCAAAAUAUAUAUCCAUGAACUCUACUAUGAGCUAAGCCAGAAGUCCUAAGUCCUCUUGAUAUAAAGCCAAUCAAUUAGGAAGCAACUAAACUGUGGAAAGGAUCCCUUUGUAUGUGCAAAAACAAGCAACUACCAAAGCAGCCCAGAAGGUAAGCUAGCCACUGUUUCUAGAAGCUGCUCGUUGCAUCUGCUUCCUAGACUCUGUCCAUUGGCUUUUGUAACAGAACCUGCUUGGGUUCUCACUUCUGCUUUGAGUUCUUA